This 301-nucleotide ribosomal RNA is filed under the name uncultured bacterium. Its description in RNAcentral is "partial 16S ribosomal RNA". It matches the Rfam family "Bacterial small subunit ribosomal RNA", at positions 509 to 807 of the family's 1533-position model. The record is from RNAcentral.
CAGUCGCCGCGGUAAUACGGAGGGGGCUAGCGUUGUUCGGAAUUACUGGGCGUAAAGCGCACGUAGGCGGCUUGGUAAGUUAGAGGUGAAAGCCCGGAGCUCAACUCCGGAAUUGCCUUUAAGACUGCCGAGCUAGUAGGUGAGAGAGGUAAGUGGAAUUCCGAGUGUAGAGGUGAAAUUCGUAGAUAUUCGGAAGAACACCAGUGGCGAAGGCGGCUCACUGGACCGACACUGACGCUGAGGCGCGAAAGCGUGGGGAGCAAACAGGAUUAGAUACCCCUGUAGUCCCUGUCUCUUAUAC